UUUCUCAUGAAUUUUUCUUUUCACAACAUUUAAGCUCAAUGCUUUUUACUUUUUUUUUGUUUUUUUUUAUUUUUUAUUUUUCCCCCGUACAACCCCAAACUUGAACCUUUUCAUCAUAUACAAUUAAGCUCAUCCCAACUCAGGGUAAAGAAUUUCAGAACAAGGGUUCACAUCCUCUUUAAGCUUAAGGUUCAAAAAGGGUAUAAUAUUUCAAGCACUUUGGGUGAAAAUUUGGCUAGAGAAGGUUUUCAAAAAUGGCCUUGAUCAUAUGACAUUCAAAUGCAAUUCAAUCGAUCAUCAAGAUUAAGGCAAUAUCAUCCAUGUUUUCCUGUGAAUAAUACAUGCAACAAUAAAAACUCUGGAGCUCAAAAUCUCACACACAUGCUUCCUCACACAAAAUUCAUUCAUACACCAUGCCUAGCAUCAUGACCACAAUCAUAAAUUCAUCACCCAUCUAUUUCCUGGAUAUCAACAUGCAUUGCAACUCAAUUCUCAUCCACAUCAAAUAAUCAUCAAAUAG
This 520-nucleotide long non-coding RNA is filed under the name Vigna radiata. Its description in RNAcentral is "long non-coding RNA (VRAD_LNC014771)". Lineage: Eukaryota; Viridiplantae; Streptophyta; Magnoliopsida; Fabales; Fabaceae. The record is from RNAcentral.